GACGAACGCUGGCGGCGUGCUUAACACAUGCAAGUCGAACGGUGAAGGGACCGGUUUUUGCUGGUUCUGGCUGAGUGGCGAACGGGUGAGUAACACGUGAGUAACCUGCCCCCUUCUUCUGGAUAACCGCAUGAAAGUGUGGCUAAUACGGGAUAUUCUGCGCCUGCUGCAUGGUGGGUGUGGGAAAGAUAUUGGUUCGGUGGGGGAUGGGCUCGCGGCCUAUCAGCUUGUUGGUGGGGUGAUGGCCUACCAAGGCGGUGACGGGUAGCCGGCCUGAGAGGGUGGGCGGUCACACUGGGACUGAGACACGGCCCAGACUCCUACGGGAGGCAGCAGUGGGGAAUAUUGCACAAUGGGCGCAAGCCUGAUGCAGCGACGCCGCGUGAGGGAUGGAGGCCUUCGGGUUGUAAACCUCUUUCGCCAGUGAAGCAGGCCUGUCCCUUUUGUGGGUGGGUUGACGGUAGCUGGAGAAGAAGCGCCGGCUAACUACGUG
This 493-nucleotide ribosomal RNA is filed under the name uncultured bacterium. Its description in RNAcentral is "partial 16S ribosomal RNA". It matches the Rfam family "Bacterial small subunit ribosomal RNA", at positions 28 to 507 of the family's 1533-position model. The record is from RNAcentral.